GGCAGUCUCCUUGGCUAUU
This 19-nucleotide microRNA is filed under the name Arabidopsis lyrata. Its description in RNAcentral is "aly-miR169h-3p". Its record names the gene aly-miR169h-3p. RNAcentral also lists the same sequence under 1 other name. Lineage: Eukaryota; Viridiplantae; Streptophyta; Magnoliopsida; Brassicales; Brassicaceae. The record is from miRBase by way of RNAcentral.